This 521-nucleotide ribosomal RNA is filed under the name uncultured bacterium. RNAcentral's name for it is "bacterial SSU rRNA". It matches the Rfam family "Bacterial small subunit ribosomal RNA", at positions 28 to 526 of the family's 1533-position model. The record is from RNAcentral.
GAUGAACGCCGGCGGUGUGCCUAAUACAUGCAAGUCGUACGCACUGGCCCAACUGAUUGAUGGUGCUUGCACCUGAUUGACGAUGGAUCACCAGUGAGUGGCGGACGGGUGAGUAACACGUAGGUAACCUGCCCCGGAGCGGGGGAUAACAUUUGGAAACAGAUGCUAAUACCGCAUAACAACAAAAGCCACAUGGCUUUUGUUUGAAAGAUGGCUUUGGCUAUCACUCUGGGAUGGACCUGCGGUGCAUUAGCUAGUUGGUAAGGUAACGGCUUACCAAGGCGAUGAUGCAUAGCCGAGUUGAGAGACUGAUCGGCCACAAUGGAACUGAGACACGGUCCAUACUCCUACGGGAGGCAGCAGUAGGGAAUCUUCCACAAUGGGCGCAAGCCUGAUGGAGCAACACCGCGUGAGUGAAGAAGGGCAAUGCCGCUUGUAAAGCUCUUUCGUCGAGUGCGCGAUCAUGACAGGACUCGAGGAAGAAGCCCCGGCUAACUCCGUGCCAGCAGCCGCAGUAACAC